UACGUAGGGGGCAAGCGUUAUCCGGAUUUACUGGGUGUAAAGGGAGCGUAGACGGCAUGGCAAGCCAGAUGUGAAAUACCGGGGCUCAACCCCGGGGCUGCAUUUGGAACUGUUAAGCUGGAGUGUCGGAGAGGCAGGCGGAAUUCCUAGUGUAGCGGUGAAAUGCGUAGAUAUUAGGAGGAACACCAGUGGCGAAGGCGGCCUGCUGGACGAUAACUGACGUUGAGGCUCGAAAGCGUGGGGAGCAAACAGG
RNAcentral lists this ribosomal RNA (253 nucleotides) under uncultured bacterium. RNAcentral describes it as "partial 16S ribosomal RNA". It matches the Rfam family "Bacterial small subunit ribosomal RNA", at positions 524 to 776 of the family's 1533-position model. The record is from RNAcentral.